This 152-nucleotide ribosomal RNA is filed under the name Aegilops tauschii subsp. strangulata. RNAcentral's name for it is "rRNA LSU_rRNA_eukarya". It matches the Rfam family "Bacterial large subunit ribosomal RNA", at positions 1854 to 2001 of the family's 2925-position model. Lineage: Eukaryota; Viridiplantae; Streptophyta; Magnoliopsida; Poales; Poaceae. The record is from RNAcentral.
GACGCCUACCCAGUGCCGGAAGGUCAAGGAAGUUGGUGAACUGAUGAUAGGGAAGCCGGUGACCGAAGCCCCGGUGAACGGCGGCCGUAACUAUAACGGUCCUAAGGUAGUGAAAUUCCUUGUCGGGUAAGUUCCGACCCGCACAAAAGGCG